UCUGCCCCCGCCCCGGUUCUUAGGGCUCCCGUGAAAGCGAGGCUCUUCUCUCCCCGUUUGCCCCGAUCUUUUGACGUCUCCAAGAAGGUUAGGUUAUGAAAGUUAGUCCAGUGCCAGUACCAAUCCAUCUGCCUACAGCUAAGGGAAAGGUGGCUCCGAAGGACCCUGAGGCACCAGUGGUUGAGUCUACAAUGCCUGCUUGUGCCACUGAAUAUUUGGUUUCUAGUAGCAACAUAAGAAGGCCAUUCCAUCUAUAUUCAGAGCUCGCCUCUCAAUGCGAAGGUUCAUCAAGUCAAGGAAGAGUUCAAGAAAUUUGAAUCUAUUAAACCUGGUGGUGUCCAAGUUAGAAACCACAAAAGCUUAUUGAGCACUUUAGUAUUGGCUUUGUUGAGUUGAAGUUACUUAAAUCCAUGGAAGCUGCAUUUGAGCAAUGGCAGUGGAGGAGAGAAUACUUCCAACUGGGGAGAGGUCGAUUCAGAAAUGGCAAUUUCAGGGGACUUAAAAGCUUUGGGGUCAAUAUGGGCUCCAGGAGAAAUGACUUUGUAAUCAGGUUGAGUACUCUGGUUGUGACUGAGGGCCACCAUACCAGGGCAAUAAUGGUCAUCAGCAAUGAGUCUUUCGGAAUGGUGGGCCUAAACAACUUGCUGUUACUGCAUAAAGAAUAUUUGUCCCCUUGUUGAGACCCCAAUCUUUUGGGUGUAAACGAAGAGAUCCUCAAGCUUAGUUUGUUCCCACACUUGAAAGUUCCUAAGGUAAAUCAGUAUUGUUCUGCUGUUGCUUCCUGUGGAUCCACCAGUGCAUUACUAGGAGAAAAGCUUUUGCCACAGAGGCCUGUAGAUGAGACAAACAGGAUGAGGAUGUUUGUUGGAGUCUUUGGCACACAUCAGGGCUCUGUUUGGAGGAGUCUGCUCAAUGCAAAUGUCAGGUUAGGAUAUCUAAUCUCCAUGUGAUUGCACCAUCACCUCAUCUUGCGAGUAAAUAAUUCUAAGUUGGUCUAAUCCAGAGGUUCUAGAUUAAUUGCAUCCUUAAUUUUCGUUAAUGUUGAUGUCUUCCAUGGAAGCGCAUAAAUCUGCAUUAUUCUUAGCUGAUAACAUAGUGGAAGCAAUUAUAGAACAUAUAUUGAGCCGUUGACUGAGUCAUUUUGAAAUCUCAUUCCAUAAUUUUUGUUCUUCCUGGGUGGUAGUGAUUCAGUCAACCACUAGAUAACAAAGUUCAUUGAUUGGUUAGUAUUCUAAUCCCUCUUAUGCUAAUGAACGACGCAUCAAACUUUAUUAGAUGCUGGUUUAAGUGGAUGAAAAGAUCGACAUUGUUGAUCUGUGCACUGGCAACAAAUCCACUGAUUGAUGAGCAAAUCCAAUGACUGAAGGUAGGAUAAUAUAGAUAAUCUCAUGAUAAUGCUACUUUAUGAGCAAUGACGGACAACUUGCCGACCUUUUCCCAACUGUGUCUCUAUCGUUGCAUUCUUCAGGCAAUAAUUCUCCUGGUUAUCUCAUCCAUAAGGUGGCAUCCUUCUGUUAUUCGUAUUAUUAGCUCUUCAAUAAAGCUAUUUACCAGCAGCAAAUUAAAAUUUUGAAUCGAGUCAUUUUCUAUUUUAAAGCUAACGUUUGUGGUUUUCAUGGAUAUAUGCACAUUCUUUUCCAAUAAUUCAUUCGUAUCAGUUAUUUUCUCACCC
Non-coding RNA from Musa acuminata subsp. malaccensis (wild Malaysian banana), 1672 nucleotides. The record is from RefSeq and is a predicted model, not a curated record. NCBI's taxonomy places the organism in Eukaryota, Viridiplantae, Streptophyta, Magnoliopsida, Zingiberales, Musaceae.